RNAcentral lists this long non-coding RNA (258 nucleotides) under Sarcophilus harrisii (Tasmanian devil). Its description in RNAcentral is "lncRNA (ENSSHAG00000029917.1)". Lineage: Eukaryota; Metazoa; Chordata; Mammalia; Dasyuromorphia; Dasyuridae. The record is from RNAcentral.
GAUUGUUCCAUACCUGAAAAUGGAGUUAACAUCUCUAUGAUGGUGGUGUGUGUGUUUCAAGAGGAAUCAAAAGUCAUUGAUGUGGAAACUGAAGUGGAGAUAAAUUGUUACUUGCCCUGGAACACAGAGCUAAUGCUUGUCUGAGGACAAGUGGCCACCAAAGUGCUCCUCAACUGACCUAUUUAAAGUUGUAGAAAGGAGCAGUAGAGAUAUCAGAGCAGUUUAGAUCUUCAGGAUCUUCAGCCAGUAAUAAGAAAG